UUAAGGAACUCGGCAACUUAACACCGUAACUUCGGGAAAAGGUGAGCCCCAGUAGGUGUAGGAAUUUACUUCUGAAGCCAGUUGGGGUCGCAGAGAGUUGGGAGUAGCGACUGUUUAUCAAAAACACAGGCAUGUGCAAAGUCACAAGACGAAGUAUACGUGCUGACGCCUGCCCGGUGCUGGAAGGUUAAGAGGAUUUGUCAGCGUAAGCGAAGCAGAGAAUCGAAGCCCCAGUAAACGGCGGCCGUAACAAUAACGGUCCUAAGGUAGCGAAAUUCCUUGUCGGGUAAGUUCCGACCUGCACGAAUGGCGUAACGACUUCUCCGGUGUCUCAACCAAGGGCCUCGCGAAAUUGAAUUCUCGGUGGAAAUGCCGGGUACCCGCAGAAAGACGGAAAGACCCCGUGAACCUUUACUGUAGCUUGACAGUGAUUUUAGAGUUUUCAUGUGUAGGAUAGGUGGGAGUCUUUGAAGCCAGGUCGCUAGACUUGGUGGAGACAACCUUGAAAUACCACCCUUGGAAACUUUGAGAUCUAACCUGCUCCUUUUAUCGAGGAGAGGGACACUGUCUGGUGGGCAGUUUGACUGGGGCGGUCGCCUCCUAAAAAGUAACGGAGGCGCGCGAUGGUCCCCUCAGCCUGAUUGGAAACCAGGCGUCGAGUGCAUUGGCAUAAGGGGGCUUGACUGCGAGACCUACAAGUCGAGCAGGUGCGAAAGCAGGCCAAAGUGAUCCGGUGGUCCCGCGUGGAAGGGCCAUCGCUCAACGGAUAAAAGGUACUCCGGGGAUAACAGGCUUAUUCCAUCCAAGAGUCCAUAUCGACGAUGGAGUUUGGCACCUUGAUGUCGGCUCAUCACAUCCUGGGGCUGGAGCAGGUCCCAAGGGUUUAGCUGUUCGCUAAUUAAAGUGGUACGCGAGCUGGGUUCAGAACGUCGUGAGACAGUUUGGUCCUUAUCUUCUGUGGGCGUAAGAAAUUUGAACAGAUCUGUCCUUAGUACGAGAGGACCGGGAUGGACGAACCUCUGGUGUUCCUGUUGUUCUGCCAAGAGCAAUGCAGGGUAGCUAUGUUCGGAAUGGAUAACCGCUGAAAGCAUCUAAGCGGGAAGCCAACUGUAAGAUAAGAUUUCUCUGGGGCUUCGGCCCCCUAAAGACUCCUCGGAGACUACGAGGUUGAUAGGCAUAAAGUGUACAUACAGUAAUGUAUUCAGCUUAUAUGUACUAAUAGGUCGUGAGGCUUUCU
RNAcentral lists this ribosomal RNA (1237 nucleotides) under metagenome. Its description in RNAcentral is "bacterial LSU rRNA". It matches the Rfam family "Bacterial large subunit ribosomal RNA", at positions 1705 to 2925 of the family's 2925-position model. The record is from RNAcentral.